AGGAGCGUAGCUCAAUUGGUAGAGCGUCGGUCUCCAAAACCGAAGGUUGCAGGUUCGAUUCCUGUCGCUCCUGCCA
RNAcentral lists this transfer RNA (76 nucleotides) under Hyphomicrobiales bacterium. RNAcentral describes it as "tRNA-Trp". It matches the Rfam family "tRNA". From Rfam's summary of the family: Transfer RNA (tRNA) molecules are approximately 80 nucleotides in length. Their secondary structure includes four short double-helical elements and three loops (D, anti-codon, and T loops). Further hydrogen bonds mediate the characteristic L-shaped molecular structure. tRNAs have two regions of fundamental functional importance: the anti-codon, which is responsible for specific mRNA codon recognition, and the 3' end, to which the tRNAs corresponding amino acid is attached (by aminoacyl-tRNA synthetases). tRNAs cope with the degeneracy of the genetic code in two manners: having more than one tRNA (with a specific anti-codon) for a particular amino acid; and 'wobble' base-pairing, i.e. permitting non-standard base-pairing at the 3rd anti-codon position. Lineage: Bacteria; Pseudomonadati; Pseudomonadota; Alphaproteobacteria; Hyphomicrobiales. The record is from RNAcentral.